RNAcentral lists this long non-coding RNA (403 nucleotides) under Numida meleagris (helmeted guineafowl). Its description in RNAcentral is "lncRNA (ENSNMEG00000006590.1)". The record is from RNAcentral. Lineage: Eukaryota; Metazoa; Chordata; Aves; Galliformes; Numididae.
GGGGCUGCGUGAGGAACGCUCCGAAUCCAAGGUUUCUAUUCAAGCGCGAUCUGAGAACGGCGCUUCAUUCUGUAUGGCGGUCGCGGGCGCCCCCUAGCGGCCAAGGGAGGAAUCGCGCCCCAGUCCGUGACCCCGCUCCGCUCUGUCCCGCUCCCACGCAGCUCACAGCUCUCCCGGCGCUCAGCGCUUCAGCGGCUCACGCUCAGCAUCGUCCCGACGCUGUCGCUGUCAUUACGUACAGAGAUUAUACGAGAGGGUUAUAAGUUGGACAUGGCCUGGAUCCGCACUGAAGCAUGCUGUUGCCUCGGGGGUUCAGAUCACAGCGACCUGCAAUGCUGGCUUUGGAGGGAUCCUUAACGAUCACAUCAUUGUGGGAUGGUUGCUUUGAAAGGCCCUGACUGAA